Molecule: transfer RNA, 66 nt
Filed under: Glottidia pyramidata
Lineage: Eukaryota; Metazoa; Brachiopoda; Lingulata; Lingulida; Lingulidae
Description: tRNA-Asn
Rfam family: tRNA
About the family: Transfer RNA (tRNA) molecules are approximately 80 nucleotides in length. Their secondary structure includes four short double-helical elements and three loops (D, anti-codon, and T loops).
Source: RNAcentral
GCAAAGGAAGCUAAUUGAUAGCGUUCGGCUGUUAACCGAAAGUAAGUGGUUUCUCCACCCUUUGCU